CAGUCGAGCGAACUGAUUAGAAGCUUGCUUCUAUGACGUUAGCGGCGGACGGGUGAGUAACACGUGGGCAACCUGCCUGUAAGACUGGGAUAACUUCGGGAAACCGAAGCUAAUACCGGAUAGGAUCUUCUCCUUCAUGGGAGAUGAUUGAAAGAUGGUUUCGGCUAUCACUUACAGAUGGGCCCGCGGUGCAUUAGCUAGUUGGUGAGGUAACGGCUCACCAAGGCAACGAUGCAUAGCCGACCUGAGAGGGUGAUCGGCCACACUGGGACUGAGACACGGCCCAGACUCCUACGGGAGGCAGCAGUAGGGAAUCUUCCGCAAUGGACGAAAGUCUGACGGAGCAACGCCGCGUGAGUGAUGAAGGCUUUCGGGUCGUAAAACUCUGUUGUUAGGGAAGAACAAGUACGAGAGUAACUGCUCGUACCUUGACGGUACCUAACCAGAAAGCCACGGCUAACUACGUGCCAACAGCCGCGGUAAUACAUAGGUGGCA
Molecule: ribosomal RNA, 496 nt
Filed under: Priestia megaterium
Lineage: Bacteria; Bacillati; Bacillota; Bacilli; Caryophanales; Bacillaceae
Description: bacterial SSU rRNA
Rfam family: Bacterial small subunit ribosomal RNA
Source: RNAcentral